UAUUACAGAUCAUGGUUUUGUGUCUCACCUUCUGCCUAACUAUGACAGCUUCAAUAAGAUGUGACAGGAUUUCAUGCCUUUGGUCUAUGGAGGUAUGGCUAUGUCUCAGGUUGCAAAAGCUUUUUUUUUGCAAUGAAAUAUUACUGCUGGUGACAAUGGACAGGUCUGAAAUGCAGCAUGUAAAAAGAAGAAGGGAAAGAAGAAGUGUGGAGGCAGUGUGCUCGGUAAAGGGAAGUGAGAGAAUCCAGCACAACAGCUGCUACCGCUCCUGCAAAGCCGUUCCCUGACAAAGUGCUCUGUUUGUCUCUAGGCCAGAAGAAAAGGACCGAAAAGAGGCCACAAAGAAAGAGAGAGAGAGAAAAAGAAAAAGCUUGAGAGAGAGAAAAGAGAGGCAAAGAAAGCCCCCUUCUGGCUCCCACUAACCCAUACACAUCUCUGACUGCUUUGCCCAGUCUCUCACUCUCACUUGGCAACUGAAGGCCUUCCACAAAGAAUUUCAGCUUUCGGCCAAAGACAAGGCCAGGAGGAGGCCGAACCCCUAGCAGACGAUCGGUUGCCACUGGACACCACUGAUCAGUAAGUAGCUUCCACCGCUUCGGAAAUUAGUUUUAAUGAUUUACUCUGAACAUAUAAAGUAUGAACAGUUUACACAAAAUAUACCGUAUGUAUGGUGUUCAGUGACUAAUGCUAAUGCAGAGUAAGAUGCUAAAAGGGUCUAUUGAGCACAUUCAUUUCCUCAGCUCAUUAGUAGUCACAAAAUCCCCUUUGCCUGCUGCACUGCUUUCUACACAUUCUCUGUUCCCUCUCUUAAACACACAUAGAACGAAGACAGAUUUGAUUUGGACUAAAGACUAUGGACAUAAGUAGAGCAGACCCAUAUUUACACACACACUGUAUUUUGCAUUGCUUGCACUUUUUUACCUACCAGAAACUUUUUUUAUUUACGAAAAUGGCAUAUUCUAGACUCUAGGCACAGAACAGAGAAGAAUGUUUUAAUGAAUAAAUGCCCUGUACUGAAGAGCAAAUAAUGGUUUAAUUUGCUGAUAGUUUGCAGCCACAUACAAAGACCAAGAGAGAAAAAAAACUGUAAGUGAACUACAUGUUCUUCUCCAGAACUGGAUUUCUCCCUCAUUUCUCUGCUUUUAUCUCUGUCUUAGGAGAGGCAUUCAUCUAUAAACCGAACACAUCCCUUAACCCACAACUAAUCAUCCAUAUUUUUCAGCUCUUUUUUUCUUUACCAUCAGAACACUGAUGGGCCAAAGCCACAGGCGUGCAGGAGAACCUGAUAGUCGUGGAAGUGGAGCUGCUCACUCGUUCUGGGUUGGAAUGCAUUUUUGCAGUGCUGCAAUUUUUUGCCAUAUCAGGGGAAUGAUUGCAGCUCCCCUCUGGAACGAUCAGCUUCCAUAUUCGUUUAUAUAACACCCCCCCACACACGUGUGUGCUCACACACACACACACAGACACACACACACACACACACACACACACACACACACGCAUCUAUGCCUGUACAUGCACAUACUCCCUCACUCACACAUUUGCACACACCCAGAAAUCAAACCACCUCAGCAGAUUAAAUGUGCUUUAAAAAGCGACCACACACUCACAGAAAAUGACCGUUUCAAGCAGCCUGGCUUUCAGUUCCCCCAAUCCUGUCCAUCUAACAUUCCAUGAAAACCACAAUCAUCUUCACUUCACUGCCAUG
Long non-coding RNA from Silurus meridionalis, 1705 nucleotides. RefSeq lists it as uncharacterized. Lineage: Eukaryota; Metazoa; Chordata; Actinopteri; Siluriformes; Siluridae. The transcript has 3 exons. The record is from RefSeq and is a predicted model, not a curated record.